GAGCUAAAUCCUCCACUAGUUCCAUGACGUCAUGGGGCCCCCUCCCCCUGCUGGGACCCGGGUGGGGGGCGCCUCCUGGGGAGAGCGCAAGGAGGACGGCGGUCCCUGUACGCACCAUCGGCCGUCGCUAACCUAGGACCGGGCUGGCAGGCUCGCCCCUGAGCCGAGGCUGCGCUGCAGCGGAACCCAGAUGAGUUCCCGCAACUUCCCAGGAUGAGUAUAUUGACCGAAUAAAGUGGACUGAAUACCCAGAUUAGGGAGAAAUACGGAAGGUUAAUCCAAGUCUGCAAGAAAUGGUCCUCUGAUCACAGCUAAGGGAACUCUAUAUCUGAACAGCUGGUAAUAAGAAUAGGACACAUGGGGCAUGAUGUAUAUGAGACAAACAUUAAGAGACAGAAGACAAAAAGCACUCAUUCAUCCAUCAAGAAUGUUGGGAACCUACUUUGUGCUAGACCCUGGGGAUGGAGUGGAAAUGGGACACAGUCCCUUUCCUUAAGGGACCUCCUGCAGGUCAACGCUAGAGGCAGUGAUAUCCUGCUAAAUGCUUAACAGCAGGAUCUCCAGGAAAAAAAGAAGCUCUGAUCAUGGUGUUCCACAGUGUAAAUAUUCCCACUAUGGCAAAUUUCAAGCUACAAAUGUGACAUCACCGAAAGCAAAGGUAGGAAGAGAUGUGCCAGCAAGCAAGCUGGCCCCAGCAUACCACUGAGAAGGCAGUAGAUAUCUGCAUAUCUGCAGGGCCUAUGGCCAGAACAGAGGAAUUUAUUGGGAGCGAAAGAAAAGCAGUCAGGGCAAAUAGUGCUGUCUAUUUUCCCUAGAGAAGAACUAGAAAGAAUGUUUUUAGUGUCAAUAAUCUGAUGUGUAUCCUGAGGGAAGAAAAGGGAAGAAAUUGAGUGGUGUUGAUGAGUGGUGAUAGCAUUUCUAGAAAGACAGUCUGGUAUUAUCUACAUUAAAAAAAUUUUUUUUGGCCUGGCACGUAGCUUAAUCUUCCAGAGCAGUGGCUUCCCCUGCAUUCAGAGGAGCUGUCUUAUAGCAUUUUCAGAGCUCAUGUCUUGCUGUGGGCAGUUAGAUACUAAUACACAUGUGUUAUAUGAUAAUAUUAAUAGAUACAAUUUAUUGAGUAACUAUUAUGAACCAGGCACUUCAUAUAUUUUAUGUCUAAUCCUUACAGCCCUGCAAGGUUGGUAUUUGUAUCCUCCUUUUUACAGAUGAGGAAACACUGAGUCAGUGAAACUGAGGAAGGUCCUUGUUUUCCCAGUUUAUCCAGGUUUGUGGUGGGCUUCAUGAACUUACAGGUUUCCUACAGAAGAUGCAAAUGACAAGAUCAAGAAGACAGUCCAGCUUAUAGAGCAUAUACCUGAGGCCUGUGAAUUUUGUGCUUUGUUACCUAUGAGACUACUUUUGGAGACUUCUAGAUAUAAGGGAUUUGAUUCUUCAUUUUAAGGAGGACACUGGAAAAAAUGGAGUCUAUCAAGAGAAGAGUGGUCAGGAUAGUCAGGAGUCUGUACAUCAAGUUGUAUAGGAACUGGGGACGUUGGCAAAGAUCAAUAGGAGAUGACAUGGAAGAUAGAUUUCAGCCCUAUGAAGGGCAGUCGUGUGGAGGAGCAGAAAGGCAUGUUCUGUGUGCCUCCAGAUGGUGGAAAUAGGCCCAAAGAUGGGGAAUUCAGUCAUGCAUCCCACAAACACUUAUUGGGCCUCUAUUUUCUUCCAAGCAUUGUGCUAAGGGCUGACAAGGGAAGGAUAUGGCGAUGAAAGGGACAUACAUCCUUGUUCAACAUCGUGAAGAACUUUCUGAAAGUCAGAGCUUUCUAACAAUGGAACAGGCUUCUGGAAAAGUAGUGAGCUUCCUACCCUCGGAGUAUUCAGGCAAAGGCUGGAUGUGUACUUAUCAGAAUGUGCCAGAAUGAAUCUUUUUGUUGAGCGGUACAUGGGACCAGAUCCCCUUCCAGUUCAGAGAUUCGGAGUCUUCAUUCAGCCUUGCUUCGGCAGGCUACAGUGCUGUGCUGAAAAAGUGUCAUCACGGUCCCCCUCCUACCGCCCGUGUCCAUCUAGCUGCAUGCUCCGCGUUCUCUGACACUGAGUGGUGGCGGGCCAGUUAGACUGGAAAGUGGCUGCCAUCUGUGACAGGGAUGAUGGCAUUUUGGCGGGUUUGUGUGGGCUCCAGGAAUGCAGCAUUGAAGCCAUGUACACACAACCUGCUUAAGAACAUCCCAUGGGCAGAAAAUGUUUUCUUCCUCUUCAUGCCUCCUCUGUUGCUGUGCCAGGCGGGCACAAUGGUGCCUUUGAGAGGGGCAGCUGGAAGGGGGUGUUGGCAGGGAGGCUGGAAGUAGAACAUUGCAGCUGAGGGGGAACCAAAUUCAUUUCCAGGAGCAAGCCUGCCCUGGAUGCCAGUUUCCAAAACAAAACUGCUGCUUCUCAGAGCUCACGGUGGUGGGUUGCCUCAGAGUUGGACAGAGGGCAAAGCCGUUUCCUAUCCGCUGCUCCAUCCUCCCCAAGUUAAAAAAAAUCCUGGUGUGUUGAGGCAUUCUUGCUCUGGAUGCAGAUUCAUGGGCUUUGCUGUCUGUCUGGGGAGCUCAGACCAACUUGGGGUGGAUGGGGCUUUCUGAAGGGUCAGACUUGCUUGCAGAUAGAACGGGGCUGAUGGCCAUAGCGGCAGGUAGGCUUCUUGGCCACCAGAGAGGGCUCAGGAUGGAGACCCUUCCUUCUGCCUUUCAGAGUCACUUCUUCUGACCCCCUAGCAGCCCUGCACCCUUGCUGCCAGAUGGGCUCUGCCCACUCACCGUCUUCACUCUCCUUGGUGGGAAAGAGGUGGGAGAACUCUGGCAUUUCCUGUCCUGGGUUCACAGUUGUCCCAGACCCUCGGCUACUUUCAAAGUUCUCAGCAACAGCUCAGAGAUGGGCGUGGGAGGUCUUCCCACUCACCUCACAGUUAGGAGAAGGCCUGAGUACCGGACUGCAAGCUCAGCCGUCUCCCACUCUGUGUUGCAGUUGGAGCAAGGUGGGUUCCCUUUUACUUUGGCGGCUUCCAACAAAAAGGUAUCACUUGAGUCCGGUCAAGUAGUAAUUUCUGUUAGUGUUCACACUAAUUAUGGGAUUUUUUUACACUUGGGUUCAAAUUGUACAAUCAAUAACUAGAGAGCAAUUACUUCAUUUCAGGUACUGGGGAGACAGGAUGAAUAAGAUAGAGGCCUUGCUUCAGACAGCCGACUGCUUAAGAGAUAUGCCAAGUUCUGAAUGGGAGCCCCACCACCAACUCAGCUGACACAUACAUUAGGGGGAAAGCAGAGGUGUAAUGCAGAGGCCAGCUCCUACCGGGAGGGCUGUGGCAUUGUGGGAGCAUGUGGGCUUUCAUCUGAUCUGAUCUUGCGGUACUUAUCUUUAGGAGACUCAAUUUCCUUGAGUAAAUAAUACACACCACGCAGAACUGUUAUGAGGAUUAAACCCGACAGUGUACCAAAGUGCCAGGACAGAGCUUGUGGCCAGGUGAGUGCUCAGGAAGUGACUGCUGUUGUUAUUAACUUGUGGAUCCCAAUGGACUUGAGAUACAAUGUGUAUGUGCACACAUUAUUUAACCGCUCCUUUGUUAGGUUAUAUGCCCUUCCUGAAAGAGUCAGUUCUUCUCCUUUCUUAAUUCCUCUUCUAUAGAAUACUAGCAUCAGCAAGUUUACGACCUCACUAAGAUAGAUAACCAAAGACCUAUCCACUAUAGCCAAUGAACAUAUUUGUAUGUAAUAUUCUCUGUCUGUUUCAUAACCCAGUUGUAGAAGCAGAAAAGGAUUGGAAUAGUUCUCAUCCAAGGUCCCUGAAUCUCCUGAGUGUAGAGAUGAAGAUCAUGAAUUCUUUUCAAUAUUCUAAGAAGUCUAAGAGAAAUAAUACAUUUCCCACUGACAGGGCCUCACAGGUCAUUAUUAUUUAAAAGAUGCAUUUGUUUGGUAGACAUAGCUUGGGGAAAGUUAUUCUUUCACUAAGGGACCUUGGUGGGUAGAAAAGUUAAGCUUGUUGGGGCAGAGGUUAGCCAAGAGAUCGCCCAGGAAUCUGUGUGGGGGUGCCUUGUAGCCCAACAUGCUGAGUCAUGUGACCCCAGCCUCAGUCUCCUGAGACCUCCUCGGGCCUCAUCUAUCCACUGUGCUGCAUAUACCCCUGUCUGCUUUGUGAAAAUGUAGGCAUGAGAAUUCAUCCCUAAAAAUUAUUCUGAAGUCCUUGGGAGACACAAAGCAUAUGUAGCCAGGAGUCUGAAGACAAAGAAAAUCAAAGCAAUUCACAAAGAACAAAGGAAAUGGAAAAGAACAAGAAAAUAAAAGCAUAUGGAUGAAUGGAGGCUUGAAGUGAAAUACAGGGUAUGCAUGUGUAGGGAAUAAAAAAGAGGGUCAUUUAAGAGAGAAAAAGUUAUGUGUCAGAAACUGUAAGCAAACAAUGGGAUUUUUAAAGAGGAACUGACAGAAACAAUUUCUUCGUAGUAGGCUGAAAGAUUUUAAGGAUCAGUGAAGGAAACUUAUAGUCAGUGCGUGGCUGAAAGAGGUAGAGAGAUGGAAAGGAUGGAGCUGUGUUUAAAAAUGGAUAAAGAUUUAGGAAAUCAAAGAAUCACAGAGGUCCUCCAGAGGCCUGCUUUUAAAGAUACAAAGGCUAAUAUUAUUACAGGAUUGAAAUAAGGUCAACAUUAGAACAGUACUGAUCCCUGAUUGCUGAGACUGUGGGUUACUUUUCCUUUUUGCCUCUCUAUGGUUUAAAAUGUUCUACCAUGGAUUUGGAUAGCUUUUAUAAUCAAGAAGAGAAUUUAGCACACGUAGUAGGAGGGAGCAGGAAGAAACUGAGGUGGGGUAUUUGGAGCAGUGAGAACUGUAGGAUGGGCAAGAAGGAGAAAUCUGAAGAGCAAGAGCUGCCUUGGGUGGCCUCACAGUGAGGAUGCUGCUGGAAAGAUGGAGCCCCUGGACUUGAUGGAGGAAGUGAAUGGACUCCAGAGACGGGAGAGGAUGUCCUCUAAGGCCCAUUCCAGUCUUUGACUCCAGGGUUUGAUGCAUGAUCAGGUUGCCACCUUUUGUUUUCUAAGAACUCAAAAUCCCCUGCAAUGCUCUCCUCAACUUUCCCUUCCCCAUGAAUACGUUUUCGUUUCAUCUCCCCUGGAAUCACUGUGGCUGUGUUGAUGGGCUGAGCAUUUGGCUAGUUCCCACCUUCAUUACUCCAAGCUCUGAAAGGCUCUACCUGCCCAAGCUGAGAAGGUGUAGAUGAUGCCAGAAGAGGCCAAGGUGCUUGAAGUUCUCUUCCCUCUAAUUGAGGAGUGUGCAAAAUUGCCAGUGGAUACCAAGGCAGCCAUGGGUUCUUUCCUGCCACUGACUGGCUGGGUGAACUUGGCCAAGCUACUGAACCUGUAAAGUCCUUGUUUUCGCUCUUCUGAAAAAUAAUGACACUUGACUGGAUUGGAGUAGCUAAAGAUAUCUGCUCAAUCUUAAAGUAAUCUGAUUCAUUAUUUACUCAGCUUCUUUACAUGCACAUGGCUGUGCUAAAUAUUAGUUUUAGAAUUUAGGAUUCUCAUAGACAGGGCCCAUCUCAUGAUAUGGCUUCAAGAUCCCUAGUACUGUGCCCAGCACAUUGCCUUUUGUAAAAAUCACGUUUAAAAAAUUGAGAUGAAAUUCACCUGACACAAAAUUAACCAUUUUAAAAUAUAUGAUUCAGUGGCCUUUAGUACUUUCACUCACGCUAUCUUUUUGAAGUGUUAGAAUAACACAAUCUUUGAGGUUGGUUCCGUUUUGUUUUAAUAAAACAGUGCUGCACUGCACCUCCAUGCUCAUCCCCUUGUGAACUCACGCACAGGAAACUCUCCAGGUCUAGGACGUGAAGAACCUGCUGGGUCAUUUGGCCUACAGGUGCAUUUUCAGUUCAGCAUUUGCCGUCAAACUGCUCUCCAGAGUGGUUUACCACUGCUGUCUGUCCCCCGGCAGUGUCUGAGAGUUUCCAUUUCUGCUCCUUCUCCCAUCGUGGGGUGCGAUAUUCCCCAUCGUGGUGUGGGAGCCCCACAGCACAGAGCAGGUAAAAGAAAUGAACCAGCUUCGGCAACGUCACCACGGAGAGAUCUCAAGAACUAAUGGUGAGUGAAAAAGGCAAGCUGCAGAGCACAAAAGGGUUGUGGGAACUCGACUCCAUCCAGAAAAUUUUAUUUUUUGGUUACAAAGAUACUUGAAGGGAAUACAACAAAAUAUUGACAAACACCAAUUCUAAGUGAGGGGGAAAUGGGAGGGUUUGAUCUAAAAAGUUCUCAAAACCUUGUUGUAUUAAAAAAAAAAUCCUCAAUUAAAAGGGGGGAAUUGAUGUGCAGAGAUUCCCAAAAUAUACUGGGUAACAGAUUUUUUUGAAGCAGCUUCCACAUUUGGACUCACUUUUCCCCAUGCAGAGGUUCAUAUUAGUGGAGCUGGCUAGCCUUCCCUUGUGAACAUUGUUUAAAAGUAGAUACAAUAUCAAGGAAUUUUGGAAGUUCUUAUUUUUAACCAGUAAAAUGAAAAAUUUCCACAGCUUGUAAUAAAAUAAGUGCUCAAGCAGAAGCCUGCCUCUUUUGCUCCAUGUAACUACAGCUCAAAACCUGUGCAAGGCUAUUCUGGGCCUGGGGUGCAGGAGGUGACUCAGUGUGUCCCUCCCUCACCCUUCCCCCACCCGUUUAUUCAGGUAAAAGCAGAUUAGAAUAAACAUCAAAGGCCGCUUUGGAAGGGAAGGGAAGUCAGAGACGUUGAGACCAGGGCUGAUGACAACCAUGUGGGUGACAUGCUGGCUUCUUAAUUAGAGGCAACCGCAAUUUAUGAGCACCCAUUUCCCAGGAACAGCACUAACUUUCACAGCUUCCUUUGUGUGCCCAUGGAAGAAGCAUUUAGAGCAUGCAUUCGCAAUAUAUAUAUUUUUUGCUCUCUUUUUCAUAAAUGUAAAAGUCUCAUGCCUGCUUUUAAUGUUAUCUGAAAUGUGAAAAUAAAUAAAUGUAUGUGACUACGA
Molecule: long non-coding RNA, 6969 nt
Organism: Eubalaena glacialis (North Atlantic right whale)
Lineage: Eukaryota; Metazoa; Chordata; Mammalia; Artiodactyla; Balaenidae
Exons: 2
Source: RefSeq, a predicted model, not a curated record